UCUGGUGACGAUGGCGAAGGGGAAACACCCGUUCCCAUUCCGAACACGGCAGUUAAGCCCUUCAGCGCCGAUGGUACUGCAUGGGUGACUGUGUGGGAGAGUAGGACGUUGCCAGGA
RNAcentral lists this ribosomal RNA (117 nucleotides) under Ignavibacteriales bacterium. The record is from RNAcentral. Lineage: Bacteria; Pseudomonadati; Ignavibacteriota; Ignavibacteria; Ignavibacteriales.